AUAUAAAAACUGAUCCUUGUGGUUUAUUUAUUGACGAGUUUCCAUUUUUAGGAGCCACUCCGGAUGGUUUAUGUAGCGAUGACACAAUCAUUGAAAUUAAAUGCCCAAUAACGGCAUUCAAAUUGGGGUUAGAAGAAGCCAUAAAAAAAGGAAAGUAACGUUUUGGAAAGUAACAAAAAAAGGGCUGGAAAUCAAUAAAAACCACCAUUGGUACUAUCAAGUGCAAGGGCAACUACAUGUUACUAAAAGAUCAAAGUACUUAUUUGCAGUUUGGUCAAAUGACGACUCUCCGCUAAAAAACGGACUACAUCGAUAGAGAUGAUACAUUUGGAAGGAGAAAAUGAAAAGUAAAACUUACAUCAUUUUAAACAGACUGUUUGUUGCCAGAAUAAGUCGACCCCCUCUAUCCUCGAGAAGCUGGACAAAAGAUGCUCUCAUGCAAUAGGUCUGACUCCGAAGUUGAAUACCAGUCGCAGCCGGGGCGCUCAGCAGUAACCGAGGUUACGAAAAACGUGCAGCCGAAGAAAAAGGCAUCGCCUUCGAAAUCAACAUCGAGGAAAUACAAACAUCAUAGCUCGGACCUCUUCGGCUUAGAGAACGGCGAGCUUCUCCCAGCGACAUAGUGGACCUUGGAUCGUCCCUCGUGAGCCGCGUCGCCAACGGGAAAGUACGGCGGACAGCCGACCUAACGGGGGACUUCUAUGUAGAGGUGAAGGUAUAUCUAAGGCUGAAGCCGCUUCCACUCCUAGAGAGGAUCGAUGGAAGAAGGCGUCGGUUGCACUGAAAGUGCAAAUUAAUAGAGACUCCUCGCCGUGGGAGGCCUUGCAAAUAUUCUUGAGACGGGCUCAUGAGCUAUUUGAUAACUCGGAGACCAUCUUUUAAAGUGAUAAUCAAAUCAAGAUGGACAAAUAUAAGAAACCAAUUUAAAAAAACCCUCAACAAAAAACAACUGAAAAGUGGUCAAGCAGCAGUCAAAGUAAAAAAUAUUAAUACGACGAUUUGCUCCAAUUUUUGGUCGUUUAUUUACAUUACAGAGAAGUGAUUGAAAAUAUUUCAAACGACCAUGAAUCGGAAGAGACGCUUCAAGAUAGUACUGAUAUUCCAAGAGCUGCACUGACUGAAAUUACAAAAAAAUGUGCCCCAAAAUACAAGUUCACGUAAUUCAUCUCAAAAUACAAGUACAUUAAAAAAAAUGCAAGCUCGUACUCGUACGCAAAGGCAAGCAU
Long non-coding RNA from Helicoverpa zea (corn earworm), 1226 nucleotides. RefSeq lists it as uncharacterized. The transcript has 3 exons. The record is from RefSeq and is a predicted model, not a curated record. Lineage: Eukaryota; Metazoa; Arthropoda; Insecta; Lepidoptera; Noctuidae.